GCCACAGCUGCCCUGGGGCAGACUGACUGGCUGCCAAUCCACUCCUACAACCCCUCUGACCACCACCAACAUUACACAGCAUACACAUUCAUACACCAGUGGAAGUGGCAGCACUGGAGCUCAGGAUUACCACAGACUGACCGUGAACACCGCUGACACCCACCUGAGGGAGACGCUGCCUCAGACCUCCAGGCUGCUUGGUCGUGGUCUUUCUGCUCCAGAACAUCUUCAUCCACUACGUCUUCUUCUGAAGAGGCCCUCAGAUGCUGCAGUCUCUGACCUUAAGGAGGAACUGCUGCUUUCACUCUGUAACCAGACGGCGGUUAUUUUAAACACCCAGCUCCAGGAGGCUUUGAGUGAAAAUUUAACAUCCAUCAAAACAGAACUGCAGACAGUUAAAUCUGAGCUGUCGGUCAGUAUUUCUAACAUCAGUCUGACCCGGGUGUCCUAAAGCUCGCUGUGGGUGAAACAGAAGCUUCAGUCUCCACAUCAUCACACUCCACAGCAGAGCACCUGUCUGCUGAACGUCUAAAAGUGGACUAUAAAGGUGAAGAAUGUGAGCAGAAAGAAGUCAUUUUCUUUCUUCUUUUCUCUCUGCUUGACUUGAUGCUGUCAGAUGCAGACUGACUGAUUCUGAUCUUUCAGGAGAAAAAGCUGCUUUUCCUUCACAGACUUUUCAGGAAAUUAUUCUCUCAGGUUUUCUCUGCUGUUAUAUUUUUAUUAUCUGUGAUUAUCUCAUUAUUGGAAAAUAAAGUUGGAGGCAUAAAGACUCA
Molecule: long non-coding RNA, 773 nt
Organism: Acanthochromis polyacanthus (spiny chromis)
Lineage: Eukaryota; Metazoa; Chordata; Actinopteri; Pomacentridae
Exons: 2
Source: RefSeq, a predicted model, not a curated record